AAUGAACGCUGGCGGCAGGCCUAACACAUGCAAGUCGAACGGAUCCUUCGGGAUUAGUGGCGGACGGGUGAGUAACGCGUGGGAACAUACCCAAAGGUACGGAAUAGCCUCGGGAAACUGGGAGUAAUACCGUAUGUGCUCGGAAGAGGAAAGAUUUAUCGCCGUUGGAUUGGCCCGCGUUGGAUUAGGUAGUUGGUGGGGUAAUGGCCUACCAAGCCGACGAUCCAUAGCUGGUUUGAGAGGAUGAUCAGCCACACUGGGACUGAGACACAGCCCAGACUCCUACGGGAGGCAGCAGUAGGGAAUAUUGGACAAUGGGCGAAAGCCUGAUCCAGCCAUGCCGCGUGAGUGAUGAAGGCCUUAGGGUUGUAAAGCUCUUUUACCCGAGAUGAUAAUGACAGUAUCGGGAGAAUAAGCCCCGGCUAACUCCGUGCCAGCCGCCGCGGUAA
Molecule: ribosomal RNA, 449 nt
Filed under: uncultured bacterium
Lineage: Bacteria
Description: partial 16S ribosomal RNA
Rfam family: Bacterial small subunit ribosomal RNA
Source: RNAcentral